AGCCAGCAGCCGCGGUAAAACGUAGGAGGCGAGCGUUAUCCGGAUUUACUGGGUGUAAAGCGCGUGCAGGCGGUUUGUUAAGUUGGAUGUGAAAGCUCCUGGCUCAACUGGGAGAGGUCGUUCAAGACUGGCAGACUGGAGAGCAGUAGGGGAAGGUGGAAUUCCGGGUGUAGUGGUGAAAUGCGUAGAUAUCCGGAGGAACACCAGUGGCGAAAGCGGCCUUCUGGACUGCAUCUGACGCUCAGACGCGAAAGCUAGGGGAGCAAACGGGAUUAGAGACCCCGGUAGUCCUAGCUGUAAACGAUGUGAACUUGGCGCUGGACGGGUAAAACCGAUCAGUGCCGAAGCAAACGCGAUAAGUUCACCACCUGGGGACUACGGCCGCAAGGUUAAAACUUAAAGGAAUUGGCGGGGGAC
This 417-nucleotide ribosomal RNA is filed under the name uncultured bacterium. Its description in RNAcentral is "bacterial SSU rRNA". It matches the Rfam family "Bacterial small subunit ribosomal RNA", at positions 506 to 921 of the family's 1533-position model. The record is from RNAcentral.